This 68-nucleotide small RNA is filed under the name Streptomyces sp. MMG1533. Its description in RNAcentral is "ASdes TB sRNA". It matches the Rfam family "ASdes TB sRNA". Lineage: Bacteria; Bacillati; Actinomycetota; Actinomycetes; Kitasatosporales; Streptomycetaceae. The record is from Rfam by way of RNAcentral.
AGGGCCACCGGGUCGACUGCCCGAGAUGCCAGCAGGUAGUCCCGGAUGACAUGGCCGUGGCGGUCCUC